Apis cerana (Asiatic honeybee) is the source of this 407-nucleotide long non-coding RNA. RefSeq lists it as uncharacterized. The record is from RefSeq and is a predicted model, not a curated record. Lineage: Eukaryota; Metazoa; Arthropoda; Insecta; Hymenoptera; Apidae.
GUUUGCUUUACGCUUACACGAGUUAAGCACAAUUAUGUAACUGGAUUGGACGAAAACAUAUUCAUCGACACGUUUUUGUUUUCUUUCGUCCAAAGACAUAAAAGGAUUAGUUUGCGCUAGUUUACCUGGAGAAAUUUGGGAAAUUUAAGUAAAAUAUGGAGAAUUCGGUGGUUCGAACUCGCCUCUGAAUAGAGACUGACGUAUCGUAUUGCCUGCCGAUCCGUGAGGACGCCAGAUUUCCAAAGCACGUGACUGAGGUCUUUACAAAGGUUUCCUGUACAGCUUGGGGACGUGUGCGCUGUUUCCGCAUUGCACACCUGUAUUUCCUAUGCGGUAGACUUUAUGUAGGGAAUAUUAUGCAUGACCUCAUGGUUUUUAUAUAUUAAAUAUAAAUAUCUUCAUUGAAA